AGAUUGAACGCUGGCGGCAGGCCUAACACAUGCAAGUCGAGCGGCAGCGGGAAGUAGUUUACUACUUUGCCGGCGAGCGGCGGACGGGUGAGUAAUGUCUGGGAAACUGCCUGAUGGAGGGGGAUAACUACUGGAAACGGUAGCUAAUACCGCAUAACGUCUUCGGACCAAAGUGGGGGACCUUCGGGCCUCACGCCAUCGGAUGUGCCCAGAUGGGAUUAGCUAGUAGGUGGGGUAAUGGCUCACCUAGGCGACGAUCCCUAGCUGGUCUGAGAGGAUGACCAGCCACACUGGAACUGAGACACGGUCCAGACUCCUACGGGAGGCAGCAGUGGGGAAUAUUGCACAAUGGGCGCAAGCCUGAUGCAGCCAUGCCGCGUGUGUGAAGAAGGCCUUCGGGUUGUAAGCACUUUCAGC
RNAcentral lists this ribosomal RNA (417 nucleotides) under Yersinia enterocolitica (type O:9) str. YE212/02. RNAcentral describes it as "partial ribosomal RNA". It matches the Rfam family "Bacterial small subunit ribosomal RNA", at positions 26 to 440 of the family's 1533-position model. Lineage: Bacteria; Pseudomonadati; Pseudomonadota; Gammaproteobacteria; Enterobacterales; Yersiniaceae. The record is from RNAcentral.